UGUCUUUUUGAAAAUAAUAUAAAGUCUAAUCUGCCCACUGAUUUAAUAUUAAAGGGCUGCAGUAUAUUGACUGUACAAAGGUAGCAUAAUCAUUAGUCAUUUAAUUGAUGACUUGUAUGAAGGAUUGGAUGAAAUAUAAACUGUCUCUUAAUUAUAUUUAGAAUUUAAUUUUUUAAUUAAAAAGUUAAAAUAAAUUAGAAAGACGAGAAGACCCUAUAGAGUUUUAUAGAUAAAAUUAAUUGAGAUUAUUUGUAAAGAUUAAAUUAAGAUUAAUUUAUUUAUUUUGUUGGGGUGACAGAAAAAUAUGAAAAACUUUUUAUAUAUUUUAAAACAUUAAUAAGUGGUUAAAUGAUCCAGUAUUAUUGAUUAUAAGAAAAAAUUACCUUAGGGAUAACAGCGUAAUUUUUUUUUUUAGUUCACAUAAAAAAAAAAGUUUGCGACCUCGAUGUUGGAUUAAGAUAAAAUUUAAAUGCAGAAG
This 478-nucleotide ribosomal RNA is filed under the name Sesamia congoensis. RNAcentral's name for it is "partial 16S large subunit ribosomal RNA". The record is from RNAcentral. Lineage: Eukaryota; Metazoa; Arthropoda; Insecta; Lepidoptera; Noctuidae.